CCAACAGAUGUGGUCUGAGAGAAGAGCUGAGCACAAGCUGAUGAGUUUCCAAUCUAUUAGUGAAGUAGUAAGUGCUCCCCUAGCAACAAACCAUUGAUGUUUUGAAAGAAAAUCAAACGCUGUACAAGGUUGUUGGAGAAAAAGGCUUGAAAGCAAAGGAGUGAAAGAUCGUACCGCUCUUAUGAGGCUGCAAAAGCUUGCGAAGAUUAGAGCUGAGAGUGAUGGGCCAGAGAGAGACCACGGAGUCAAGGAGAAGAAUUUUCUCUACUCUGCCUGCAGCCUUGGUGAUGCAGGGCAUCGUAGGAAGAAAAACAUCAGUUUCUGGGAGACAAGCACUGAUGCAGACGAAAAGAGAAGACAGACUUGAUCAUCUGAAAAAGGGUUGCAAGUUCCUGAGUGAAGCUCUAAGAAGACAAGAGAGAGGGUGCAGUGCAGAAGCAGCUUGAAGAAGAAAGAGUGCUCCUUCACCGGUCAUCCCAGUGCAUCAUUCAUUAAAUAUAACGCCCUACAGGAAAACCAGGGCUUCGUGUUCUCUCUGCCCCCUCCUGCAUCAGCCCUGACGUCAGUAGUUUCAAACCAUGGAAGUUAAAUUAAGGCCAGUGCAGCCUAAUAGGAGAGGGAGAGCAAAUGCUAAGAAGUCCAGGUAAUGAGAAAAUACCUGCCAUCUGGAGCUGUCAUAAGCACGAAUUUAUAUCACUUCCCUCAAAAUAAACAAAUUACAGCACGGGGAA
Molecule: long non-coding RNA, 731 nt
Filed under: Melopsittacus undulatus (budgerigar)
Lineage: Eukaryota; Metazoa; Chordata; Aves; Psittaciformes; Psittaculidae
Description: lncRNA (ENSMUNG00000021202.1)
Source: RNAcentral